CCUACGGGAGGCAGCAGUGGGGAAUAUUGCACAAUGGGGGAAACCCUGAUGCAGCGACGCCGCGUGAGUGAAGAAGGAUUUCGGUAUGUAAAGCUCUAUCAGCAGGGAAGCAGAAACACGGUCCCUGCCUAAGAAGCCUCGGCUAACUACGUGCCAGCAGCCGCGGUAAUACGUAGGGGCCAAGCUUUAUCCGGAUUUACUGGGUGUAAAGGGAGCGUAGACGGUUGUGCAAGUCUGAAGGGAAAGCCCAGGGCUCAACCCUGGGACUGCUUUGGAAACUGUGGAGCUAGAGUGCUAGAGAGGUAAGUGGAAUUCGUGGUGUAGCGGUGAAAUGCGUAGAUAUUAGGAGGAACACCAGUGGCGAAGGCGGCUUACUGGACAGAAACUGACGUUGAGGCUCGAAAGCGUGGGGAGCAAACAGGAUUAGAUACCCCAGUAGUC
This 441-nucleotide ribosomal RNA is filed under the name uncultured bacterium. RNAcentral's name for it is "partial 16S ribosomal RNA". It matches the Rfam family "Bacterial small subunit ribosomal RNA", at positions 338 to 795 of the family's 1533-position model. The record is from RNAcentral.